This is a long non-coding RNA of Gadus macrocephalus (Pacific cod), 3115 nucleotides long. RefSeq lists it as uncharacterized. The record is from RefSeq and is a predicted model, not a curated record. NCBI's taxonomy places the organism in Eukaryota, Metazoa, Chordata, Actinopteri, Gadiformes, Gadidae. The transcript has 8 exons.
CGGCUCUUCCUACCUGGCUGGAUUGAUGCAGAGCCCUGUGGAUCUUGUCUUGCUCUCAGUUGCACGUCUUCUCAGGGUGAACUGUAUUUGUUUCGGUCAGGACUAGCUGAACGAUUGGUUCCCUCCAAUCAGAACCACUCCGGGAACUCCAGCUAGUGCGCUCUUCAAGCUGAAGUUGUGCUCUUCAGCUGAGGAGGUAAAGAGACCUUCGCUGGGGCUUCAAGGUAUAAAGAGGAGUGUUUCAAAGUGUUCCAUGGUACUCUGAUGAAGACCGUUGUGUUCCACUGGCUGAGAGGAAGAACCCACACAUCUUCCUCUUGGCCUUUCUCCUCUGGGAAUCCUGGUGCCAUCUUGAAGUAUAUUCCAGCUCAUGUAACUGAUGUCAUGACAGAUUCUCAAACACUUGGUUUCUCCUUAGGGGCGUGUCUAUAGAACUGAAGAAUUCAGACAGCACUGUAUCCCAGCAUGCAUCUCUGCUCACUCAGACCACACCCCCAUGAGUAGGAUGCAACACUCUAGUGAUGGAGAUGUAGAGUUUUAUGAGUAACGAGGGAGCAGACAAAGGUGAUUAGUACACAAUGGAAUGUCAAGUCUGUAAAUCUUUAAAUCAUGUAGAUGGUUGGAUAGUUCAGGAAUUGGCCUUCUUUUUAUCAUUGGCAGUCCUUUCACUCAGAUGCCAAUUUCUCACUGGAGCUGUACAUGUGUUGGCUGGCUGGCAUGAUUUGCUGUUGGUGAUGAGGUGGUCAGGGUGACAUUGCAGGGCUAUGGUCGGCUCGCUGUGAGCUCAACGUUUAGAUUUGCUCUGUAUGGUUUUUACCCUGAAUAAUUUAGAUAAUUGUAAAAUGUAGACACGAUUUUGUAUUGACUGAUUCCAGGAUUUUAUGUUUAAAGUUGUUGUGGGACGAACAUGGUAGUUUGGUUCUUCGUACGGUUUUAAGUGAUAUAACUUGUACACACUGGGUGCGUAAUAAUGUAAACGUACACUGAAUAGUAUUAAUGACCAACAGCAACAAACAGAUCUCCUCAAGGUAAGUCUGUUGGCUGUGUUUUAAUGAAGACCAUCGCUGGACUUCAGGAUCUUCCUCCGUUCAGCUCAAGGUGAGGCGCUGGUUAUGUUUCUUUGGUUGGUUCCGGCUGGAAUGUUCGGAUUCCAGUCGGACGGUUUGUGCUUCCCGCCGUGGAAGUCUCUGAGUGCGGUCACUUGAUUUAGCCCAAUGGUAGCAUAGAACGUUGUAGUAUUGACAACCAUUAGAAACCACCUGGCAGUUAGUUGGACGGGAGUCCUCUGAGGGAAUCUGGCGGAACGUUCUGGAUUGUAUUUGCGUAACCUUGAGCCGUUGCCAACAAACUAUUUUUCAGUCGGUUUCCAUUUGGAAUGGUUGCCCCUAUCUUAAACAACUUAAGUUUGAUAUUAAAUACAUACUGACACGUACGUCGUACAAUAUGUUGAUAAUUUCCGAUGGUUACGCCAUACUUUUAACCACGAUGACGUGACGGGACUCUCACUGCGUACAAAACGGUGUUCUACUUGCGGGCCCAUUUUUUACAUCAGUGAAGGCUGAAGAUAAUUUCGAGGUGGAAGAUAAUUUGACAUUUCAUCAACGGAACCCAGCACCUGAAUAUGGCUGAGUAUAUUUGAUUUAAUAUCGGUACUGCUUAGUGUUCUUUGUUUCUUCAGCUUUUGUACGUUCUAAAUAUCUGUCAUUAAUUGCCACAGAAGAUAAACCCUACCCAAUGGUAUGACGUUGAAUAACUACUUUGGUGCAGAGUUACCAACUGGAUAAUAUCAAAGCUAAAAUAAUGGCCGUCCUUCCCAGAUGUUACAGUAGAAGAUACUCUAGAAGGUUAAAAAGGUAACGUGUAGUUUGUCCCAAGGUGUCUGCCUCCUCACCCAGAGCAAGACCUCCACCUCCUCACCCAAAGCCAGAUCUCCACCUCCUGUCAGAAGUCCUCCCGAACAGCUGAAAGGCGAGGCUGAGAGGCUGGGGACCGGAGGCUUGUGGUGCCAGGGUGGACCGGAGACUGAGGCUGGAGACCAGGGGCCUGCAGCACCGGACCAGAGGGUAACCAUCACCAAGCUCAUCUGAAACACUUAAAUCCACAGUUUCCAUGUCUGGAGGAGCCGAGCUGAUGGAGAUGCCGAGCUGAUGGAGGAGCCGUGCUGCUGAAGGAGCUGAUGGAGCAGUCGUGCUGAAGGCCCUGCCUGGUGAAGGACGUCUGUCGUGGGACCAGGACUCUGUCUGAGAGCUGCUGGAGGAGCUGAGACGCUGGAGGACGACUAGGAAUCGACCAACAAGGAUUCCUCAACGUGUUUCUGGAGCGGAGGCGAGUUGGUAGGGGAGCCGGGAAUCUGGAGGAUGACCAUCACUCUACCAACAAGGAUUACUUUAAGGCUAGACUCGCGAUGCUUGUUCCAGACCAGGACUCCGGCUGAGGAGAGCUGAUGGAUGAGCCAAGACUCUGGAGGACGACAUCACUCUACCAACCAGGAUCCUCACCAGGAAUCUGGAGGACUGAUGGAGAAGCCGUACAAAUGGAAGGCAAAUCCUGAGGACAACUAGGACUCUACCAUCAAGGAUUCCUCAUAAGUUUGCAUUAUCUGGACACAGUGGACUAGACACACCUGAGCUGAACCCGCCCUGAUCCUGACAUCCUGCUGGGCCCGUCUCCUCAGUUCAUCUGAGCCUCGUCCUCCACAAGACCUGCUGAGCUCAGCAGUCUGAGGCUGAUGGAUCAAUGACCUCCAGUGGGAGUGAUCUUCUUGACCCCAAAUGUAACCGUGUGCUUCCACACGCCUUUUCCCUCACGUCUGUCACUAACCUCACUACCUCACUACUCUCUGCUGCUUCCUCUUUUCUUCCUUCUCUGUGGUUCGAACCUUUACACGGAAGGCGCGUCUUCCUGCCCUCAGAGGGUUCAGCAUUAGGGUUGAGAGUCAGGGUUUAGAGUCAGGGACAGAGCUGGUCAGGGAGGACUGCUUUUACACAAACCUCUUCACUUGCUUUCGGAAUGGUGGUGACAUUUUGAAAAGAUUAAUUUGGGAAAAUGUUUUCCUCUGCUUUCCUUUACAAAAUUGUAUUAUACUUCUGUCAAGUGUUUUUGUUUACAUAUUAAA